RNAcentral lists this ribosomal RNA (430 nucleotides) under uncultured Luteolibacter sp. RNAcentral's name for it is "bacterial SSU rRNA". It matches the Rfam family "Bacterial small subunit ribosomal RNA", at positions 355 to 776 of the family's 1533-position model. Lineage: Bacteria; Pseudomonadati; Verrucomicrobiota; Verrucomicrobiia; Verrucomicrobiales; Verrucomicrobiaceae. The record is from RNAcentral.
UCGAGAAUAAUUCACAAUGGGGGCAACCCUGAUGGUGCAACGCCGCGUGGAGGAUGAAGGUCUUCGGAUUGUAAACUCCUGUCAUCCGGGAGUAAGACCUGGCGAUGAAUAGUCGACAGGGUUGAUAGUACCGGAAGAGGAAGGGACGGCUAACUUCGUGCCAGCAGCCGCGGUAAUACGAAGGUCCCGAGCGUUGUUCGGAAUCACUGGGCGUAAAGGGAGCGUAGGCGGCGCGGUAAGUCAGAUGUGAAAUCCCGGGGCUCAACCCCGGAACUGCAUCCGAUACUGCCGUGCUUAGAGGGUUGGAGAGGUAGCUGGAAUUCUUGGUGUAGCAGUGAAAUGCGUGGAUAUCAAGAGGAACACUCGUGGCGAAAGCGAGCUACUGGACAACACCUGACGCUGAGGCUCGAAGGCCAGGGGAGCGAAAGGG